AGAGUUUGAUCCUGGCUCAGAACGAACGCUGGCGGCGUGCCUAACACAUGCAAGUCGAGCGCGAAAGUCCCUUCGGGGGCGAGUAGAGCGGCGGACGGGUGAGUAAUACAUGGAUAAUCUCCCUUCGAGCUCGGGAUAACACUGCGAAAGCGGUGCUAAUACCGGAUAAGACCACGUCACCCAGGUGAUGCGGUAAAAGAUGGCUUUGUUUUCGGAUGAGGCUAUCACUUGAGGAUGAGUCCAUGGCCUAUCAGCUUGUUGGUGAGGUAAAGGCUCACCAAGGCGAUGACGGGUAGCUGGUCUGAGAGGACGACCAGCCACACUGGGACUGAGACACGGCCCAGACUCCUACGGGAGGCAGCAGUGGGGAAUAUUGGGCAAUGGGCGAAAGCCUGACCCAGCGACGCCGUGUGGGCGAUGAAGGCCUUCGGGUUGUAAAGCCCUGUUGGGUGGAAAGAAGGGCUCUAGGACGAAUAAUCCCUGAGUCUUGACGGUACCACCAGAGGAAGCACCGGCUAACUCCGUGCCAGCAGCCGCGGUAAUACGGAGGGUGCAAGCGUUGUUCGGAAUUACUGGGCGUAAAGGGCGCGUAGGUGGUUGUGUAAGUCAGAUGUGAAAUCCCGAGGCUCAACCUCGGAACUGCAUCUGAUACUGCAUGACUAGAGUGCAGCAGAGGGAAACGGAAUUCCCAGUGUAGAGGUGAAAUUCGUAGAUAUUGGGAGGAACACCGGUGGCGAAGGCGGUUUCCUGGGCUGACACUGACACUGAGGCGCGAAAGCGUGGGUAGCAAACAGGAUUAGAUACCCUGGUAGUCCACGCUGUAAACGGUGA
This 831-nucleotide ribosomal RNA is filed under the name uncultured bacterium. RNAcentral's name for it is "bacterial SSU rRNA". It matches the Rfam family "Bacterial small subunit ribosomal RNA", at positions 8 to 812 of the family's 1533-position model. The record is from RNAcentral.